UCGAAAGCCUGUCCCAGUUCGGACUGGAGUCUGCAACCCGACUCCACGAAGUUGGAUUCGCUAGUAAUCGCGCAUCAGCCAUGGCGCGGUGAAUACGUUCCCCGGGCCUUGUACACACCGCCCGUCAAGCCAUGGGAGCCGGGGGCGCCUGAAGUCCGGGACCGCGAGGACCGGCCUAGGGCGAAACUGGUAACUGGGGCUAAGUCGUAACAAGGUAUC
This 219-nucleotide ribosomal RNA is filed under the name uncultured bacterium. Its description in RNAcentral is "partial 16S ribosomal RNA". It matches the Rfam family "Bacterial small subunit ribosomal RNA", at positions 1275 to 1500 of the family's 1533-position model. The record is from RNAcentral.